AGCAGCCGCGGUAAUUCCAGCUCCAAUAGCGUAUAUUAAAGUUGUUGCAGUUAAAAAGCUCGUAGUUGAAUUUCGGGGUUAGUAGGUUGGUCAUGCCUCUGGUAUGUACUGGUCUCACUGAUUCCUCCUUCCUUAUGAACCGUAAUGCCAUUAAUUUGGCGUUGCGGGGAAUUUGGACUGUUACUUUGAAAAAAUUAGAGUGUUUAAAGCAGGCUAACGCUUGAAUACAUUAGCAUGGAAUAAUGAAAUAGGACGUUCGAUCUUAUUUUGUUGGUUUCUAAGAUUGACGUAAUGAUUAAUAGGGAUAGUUGGGGGCAUUAGUAUUCAAUUGUCAGAGGUGAAAUUCUUGGAUUUAUUGAAGACUAACUACUGCGAAAGCAUUUGCCAAGGAUGUUUUCAUUAAUCAAGAACGAAAGUUAGGGGAUCGAAGACGAUCAGAUACCGUCGUAGUCUUAACCAUAAACUAUGCCGACUAGGGAUCGGAUGAUGUUAAUUUUUUAAUGACUCA
Molecule: ribosomal RNA, 508 nt
Filed under: Glomus sp. Glo8
Lineage: Eukaryota; Fungi; Glomeromycota; Glomeromycetes; Glomerales; Glomeraceae
Description: SSU rRNA
Rfam family: Eukaryotic small subunit ribosomal RNA
Source: RNAcentral